This 62-nucleotide transfer RNA is filed under the name Parhyale hawaiensis. Its description in RNAcentral is "transfer RNA-Met". Lineage: Eukaryota; Metazoa; Arthropoda; Malacostraca; Amphipoda; Hyalidae. The record is from RNAcentral.
UAAAAGAUAAGCUAUAUAAGCUACCGGGUUCAUACCCCGUUUAUGAAUUUUUUCUCUUUUAA